GUGGGGAAUAUUGGACAAUGGGGGGAACCCUGAUCCAGCCAUGCCGCGUGUGUGAAGAAGGUCUUCGGAUUGUAAAGCACUUUAAGUUGGGAGGAAGGGCAGUAAGUUAAUACCUUGCUGUUUUGACGUUACCGACAGAAUAAGCACCGGCUAACUUCGUGCCAGCAGCCGCGGUAAUACGAAGGGUGCAAGCGUUAAUCGGAAUUACUGGGCGUAAAGCGCGCGUAGGUGGUUUUGUAAGUUGGAGGUGAAAUCCCCGGGCUCAACCUGGGAACUGCCACCAAAACUGCAUGACUAGAGUACGGUAGAUGGUAGUGGAAUUGCCUGUGUAGCGGUGAAAUGCGUAGAUAUAGGAAGGAACACCAGUGGCGAAGGCGACUACCUGGACUGAUACUGACACUGAGGUGCGAAAGCGUGGGGAGCAAACAGGAUUAGAUACCCGUGUAGUCC
Molecule: ribosomal RNA, 450 nt
Filed under: uncultured bacterium
Lineage: Bacteria
Description: partial 16S ribosomal RNA
Rfam family: Bacterial small subunit ribosomal RNA
Source: RNAcentral